UGAAGUUACAAUACAAUUCCCGAUAGGAUUCAUAAUUAUUGUGAAGAUGCCUUGUAACCAAAUAAUUUUAAUUAAUGGGGGAAUAUAUAAUG
This is a regulatory RNA element of 92 nucleotides. It matches the Rfam family "SAM-III riboswitch aptamer (SMK box)". The record is from Rfam.